AUGUCGGAGAAGCUGGCUCAUCCGGACGCCAUCUGCCUUACCCUAGGAAAAAUUUGGUGCCCGAUCAAGAGUAUCGACUGCAAGGAGAUUGGCGUGAAUCAAUUCCUGUUCACGUUCCAUCAGGAGUCGGGGAAGCAGAAGGCACUUAAGAACGGGCCAUGGAUGUUCGAUAAAGACCUGAUGGUGGUGGAAGAGUACGUUCCAAAGAAGAGGCCCGAAGACUAUGUGUUCAAUGAUAUCCCGAUCUGGGUUAGGGUUUACAAUUUGCCCCUGGGUAUGAUGAAUGUGGACUCUGCGGAGGAUAUUGGCAAUAUCAUUGGAAAGUUUGUUGAGGCGGGCACUGGAGCUGAUGGGAGUGCUAUAGGGAGGUUCCUCUGGGUUAAAAUCCGUAUGAGGAUUGAUAAACCACCGAUGAGAGGCUUCACUUUAGAGGAUGAGGAGAAACAGAAUGAUGGGGAUCAGAUGGAGCAGGGAGAAAGUGGGAAGGAGGAGGGAGAGGAAGGACGAGACUGGUGCAGAUUCGAGUAUGAGUAUCUCCCGGACUUUUGCUAUAUUUGUGGGAUCAUAGGGCAUGGAGAGAAAGACUGUUCGAUGAAGGCGAAGAAGGGGGAUAAACAGCAAUAUGGGAGAUGGCUGAAAGCUGAUUUGGGCCAUAGGAGAGGUGGUCAGACGAAGGGGUGUGGAGGGCUGGGCUAG
RNAcentral lists this ribosomal RNA (696 nucleotides) under Triticum aestivum (bread wheat). RNAcentral describes it as "partial small subunit ribosomal RNA". Lineage: Eukaryota; Viridiplantae; Streptophyta; Magnoliopsida; Poales; Poaceae. The record is from RNAcentral.